GCAACCCGUCAACUCAGGAAGAAUAUGCAAAACUCUUUCUCAUCUCUUAAAAAUCUCUUCCUGCAUAUAUUUUGUAAUGGAGAGAUUAUAAAUACAGACACAUAAAAACAAUUUGUAAAAAAUAUACGUGAUUUGAGAUUAAUUGUUUUGUUUUUAUCUCUUUGUGUCUUUAGGGCCACACCCGAGGCACAUGGAGGCUCCCAGGCUAGGGAAUUGGAGCUGUAGCUGCCGGCCUACACCACAGCCGCAGCAAUGCAUGAUCCGAGCCGUGUCUGUGACCUUACACCACAGCUCAUGGCAGUGCCAGAUCCUUAACCCACUGAUCGAGCCCAGGGAUCAAACCUGUGUCCUCAUGGAUGCUAGUCAGGUUGGAUAUCCACUAAGCCACAACGGGAACGCCUAAGGGUUUUUUUUUAGUGUUUAAAAUCAGCGUUAUUGGGAGUUCCCUGGUGGCUUACUGGUUAAAGACCUGGUGUUGUCACUGCUGUGUCAUGGGUCACUGCUCUGACUCACGUUUGCUCACUGGCUUGGGAACUUCUACAUGCUCUGUGUGUGGCUAAUAAUAAUAAUAAUAAUAAAAUCAACGUUAUUGAAGUUUAGUUUGCAUUGAAUAAAAUACAGCCAUCUAAAGAGUUCUGUUUUUUGGCGUUCGCAUUGUGGCUCAGUGGGUUAAGGACUGGAACGUUGUCUGUGUGAGGAUGCAGGUUCGAUCCCUGGCCUCGUUCAGAGGGUUAAGGAUCCGGCGUUGCUGCAGGCUGCAGCAUAGGUCUCAGAUGCAUAGGUCUCAGAUCUGGCGUGGCUCUGGCUGUGGCAUAGGCCUCAGCUGCAGCUCCAACUUGACCCCUGGCCUGAGAACUUCCAUAUGCUGCAGGUGCAGCCAUAAAAAAAUUAAAGAGUUCUGUUUUUUGGCUUUUGACACAUAUGUACAUCUGUGUAACUGCCGUCUCAGCCUAGGCAUAGAACAUUGCUGUCCAUCUAGAAAGUUCCAUCUUGAAAGGCAUGCCUUUCAGUACACAAAACAUAAGAUUUAGCAUCUUAGCCAUUUUCCAGUGUUCCAGUCCAUGGCAUUAAGUACCUGUUCAGUGUUAUAUAGACAUCACCUCAGCCAUGUCCAGAACGUUCUCUUGGUUUUUUUUUUUUUUUAAGUCUUUUUAGGGCUGCGCCCGCGGCAUACGGAAGUUCCCAGCCUCGGGGUCAAAUCAGAGCUACAGCUGCCAGCCUACACCACAGCCACAGCAACGCUGGAUUCUUAACCCACUGAGCAAGGCCAGGGAUCGAACCCACGACCUCAUGGUUCCUAGUCGGAUUCGUUUCUGCUGCGCCAAGACGGGAAUUCUCAGAACAUUUUUCAUCUUCCUAAACUGAAACUCUGUCCCCACUAAACACCAACCCCCAGCAAGCGACCUGCCCCCGCAGCCCCUGACACCCGCUGUUCUAUGCUCCGUCUCUGUGGAUCUGACUCCUCUAGGGAGCUCCUGUGAGUAGAAUCCUACAGGAUCUCUCUGUCUCUUGUUCACUCAGCACUGCGUCCUCAAGAUUCAUUGCGUCGUAGCAGGCAUCAGUGCUUUUUAAGGCUGAAUAAUAUUCCAUUGGGUGUGUGUUUCACAUUUAGUUAUUGAGCCACCUGUUGGUGGGCACUGGGGUUGCUUCCGUGUUCGGGCUGUUGUGAGCGGUGUGAUACACGCGUGUGUGCCCACAUCUGCACGAGUGCCUGCCCUUGGUUCUUCCCGUGCGUGUCCUCCAGAGCCUCGCCUGCACCGGGGCGUUGUGUAAGUGGAGUGCUGUGUGCCGCAGGCGCCCUGCAGCCUGGCUGCCUCUGCAUGACAUGCUGUCUGUGACAUGCAUCCAGGUCGCUGAGAUUCAUGCCAUCAGCACAGUUGUUGAUCUGUUCUUUGGCUGAUGGACACCCACUCGGGGCUGUUCUGAAUGGAGAGCUGGGGGCCGUGACCCAGAGAGCCAGGCUGACAGGACAGGACUUCUGCACGCAGCCCACACUGCUCUGGGCAGCUCCCUGGACGAGGCUUCUCCCUGGUGCCAGUCCAGACCUGAGACGUGGCCUCUGCCCCCAAGCGCUCCAGGUGCCCGACAAGGAAGAGAGCUGCCGUUGAGAUGGAGGUGGGGCAGUGGCCGAGCGAAGCUUUGCCCUCUGUGCUGCUGGCUGACUCCACGGUUCCUAUCUGAUGGUGCCAAGAUUAUAAACCAGCAAGCGAGCUGGUCGUGCAAACGGGCUUCCUCGUGGAGGCCCACCAGCUGUCGCACCUGGCUCGUCGCCCAGCCCACCCCUGGCAGGCCCCCAUCCUGGCCUCCUGGGGCCCCUGCGAGGUGUCCUGGGGUGUGGGGUUCUGCCGAAUGGGGAACCCGGUCCUCCCUGCUUCCUUCUCUGCUCUGCCGGGCUGGGGUGGGUCUGUGGAGUUAUUCCAGAAGCCCCAGGCCCCAUCCCUCAGUUAACAGGGAAGCUUUUCCAGGCCAGCAGGGAAGCAGCGGAGGGUAAAGGUUGGCCUCCUUAUCAGGGCUCCCUGGAGGGAAGGAUGAGAAAACAAAGCCACCGCAGCCCUCUGGGCGUGACAGUUGCUGAUAAGAGGAAGGCCGGCUGGGUGGUUUGUGGUGACACCCAGUGAAAGCAGAAGUGGGUGGGACCCCGGCUAAUCUGGAGCUGCAUGUGGUCAGGACCCCUGCCCCAAGGCCAGGGACCAAGAGGCCAAAACAAAUUAGCCCCUAGCCCAGGGCCCUUGGGGACCGUUUUUUUUCACCUUCCUCCCACUUUGCUGGAAGGUAUUGUGUGACUGCAGCCCCCCCCCCCCCCAAGGAUCAUUUUCCAAAUGCCUUCAGGGGUGGGCCUCAAGGGCCAGGCCUGCCUCUACCUUCUGUGGUUCCCUAUGUGCAUUCAUGGAGCACCUGCUGUAUACCUGGCCAGCACUCAGUGACGACCUGUAUGCCAGACUUGGGGAUUCAGGAAGAGACAGGAAAAGCUGGCUGGUCAGGACAGGGGCAGCCAGAGGGGUUCAUGAUGGCACAGACCCCAAGGGCGCUGAGAAAGCGGGGGGACUUGGAGGGGAUGUCUAAGGGGAAGUGUCCCGAACCGGGAGGCCCUGCAACUGCCUGAGGAUUAGAAGAACUGGCCGGGUCACCAGCCAAGCGUCUGUGGGUUUGGCUCAAGGCCAGGACGCUCUGAGUGCUCCACGGGGGCCCCACUGGCUCGCUUCCUUUAGGGAAGUGGGCUCGGGCUUAGAUCAAGGCUCCUCAAAAAGGGGAAGCAGAACCCUCUUGGUGAACUGACAGUGACGUUGGCUCCAUGGCGUAAGAAGAGAUGAGGGCCCUUCCCGAAGCUUCGGGGGCCAAGCCGCCUCCGUUCCCAGGGAAGAGAAGGCCUCCGAGGUGCCUGCCACUUGGCAAACCUGUGCUCGAGCAGUCCCCUCCCUGGGUCAAUCUCGGGCAGGGGCCUGUGACAUUUGCCACACCUUCCAGAUAACGGGAUCCUGGGGCUGCAUGGAACGUUCUAGGCUUUCACCCACACUCAGUGCUGGGAGAAAAUGGAGGUAGAGAGAAGUCAGGGGCCACCAGCAGCAGGUGGGUUUGGACCCAGGCCACCUGGCCCCCGGCUCCUACCCCAGCCCAGGAGGCUGCCUGAUCUGCAGUGGCCAACCCACCUGCCUCCAGGAAGGGACCCCACACCAGCAAGCAGGGGCUGGGAAAAGGUGGGGGCCGUGGGGCCUCCGAGAAGCAGGCAUGGCUGUCUAGGCCACCGGUCAGACUAUCAGGACUGCUCAUGGGCCUCGACCAGGAAAGGAAGGUUCCAGAAUGUCAAGGCCUGGCCCUGUGGAGGCCGGCAAGGUGCGGGUUGUAUCACCUGGAGGGCACACGCUCCAGGAGUUUGGAGGAGCGGGAGACAAGGGGGCCUGAUGAAGGGGUCCCUGUGAGCCCCCCGCCCCCACCCCCCGUCAGUAGGACCCGUCCCAACAGGGCCACUGCCACGGCAUAUGGAGGUUCCCAGGCUAGGGGUCCAAUCAGAGCUACAGCCGCCGGCCUACACCAGAGUCACAGCAAUGCCGGAUCCUUAACCCACAGAGCGAGGCCAGGGAUCGAACCCGCAAUCUUAUGGUUCCUGGUCGGAUUCGUUAACCACUGAGCCACGUCAGGAACUCCGGAGGAGCCUAUCUUGAUUUUGAUUUUCACAGGCAUCUGCUGGGGGCAGGGGGACAGGAAGAGGGUCAGACAGACUCCAGGCUCCGCUCCUGGGAGCUCAGUGAUUCUUGGCGCCAAGUCAAGCUUUAGAAAUUCAAAGGCUAAGUGAGGAGACACAGGCUGCUUGGCCAGAUCGACCUGUGGUCACCUCUGCUGCCCCAGGCCCCAAGCUGGGGGAGGGCUUCCAACUCCAGCUCCCCUACAGGAGGACCCCCUCCCCCUGAGAAGCUUCCAGAGUCCUUCCCCCAUCUGGUUUCUCACCCGGCCCCCCUGCUGAGGCAGUGCUCCCCGCCCCCCCGUUGCCUUGUAUCCAAUCAGGCAUCAUUCAUUUAUUCACUUAUUCAGAGCUGUCCCCUCUGAGCACCAGGUGCCAUGCUGGGCACCAGGGAUGGGGACGCCACCUAAGCCUCAUAGAGAAAGGAGUUCCCGUUGUGGCUCAGCAGAUUAAGAACCCAACUAGUAUCCCUGAGGACCCAGGUUCGAUCCCUGGCCUCGCUCAGUGGGUUAAGGAUCCACCGGCGUUGCCAUGGGCUGUGGUGUAGGUCACAGACGUGGCUCGGAUCUGGCAUUGCUGUGGCUGUGGCUGUGGUGUAGGUCGACACUUGCAGCUCCGAUUCAACCCUUCGCUUGGGAACCUCUAUAUGCUAUGGAUGCGGCCCUAAAAAGUCCAAAAAAAAAAAAAAA
This 4866-nucleotide long non-coding RNA is filed under the name Sus scrofa (pig). RNAcentral's name for it is "lncRNA (ENSSSCG00005020529.1)". The record is from RNAcentral. Lineage: Eukaryota; Metazoa; Chordata; Mammalia; Artiodactyla; Suidae.